RNAcentral lists this ribosomal RNA (786 nucleotides) under uncultured bacterium. RNAcentral describes it as "bacterial SSU rRNA". It matches the Rfam family "Bacterial small subunit ribosomal RNA", at positions 40 to 821 of the family's 1533-position model. The record is from RNAcentral.
GGGCGGGUGCCUUACCUGCAAGUCGAACGCGAAAGCGGGGGCAACCCUGUGAGUAAAGUGGCGAACGGGUGAGUAAUGCAUCGGAACGUGUCCAGUAGCGGGGGAUAACCUCUCGAAAGAGGGACUAAUACCGCAUACGACCUACGGGUGAAAGCAGGGGAUCGCAAGACCUUGCACUAUUGGAGCGGCCGAUGUCGGAUUAGCUAGUUGGUGGGGUAAAGGCUUACCAAGGCGACGAUCCGUAGCUGGUCUGAGAGGACGACCAGCCACACUGGAACUGAGACACGGUCCAGACUCCUACGGGAGGCAGCAGUGGGGAAUUUUGGACAAUGGGGGCAACCCUGAUCCAGCCAUGCCGCGUGGGUGAAGAAGGCCUUCGGGUUGUAAAGCCCUUUCGGUGGGGACGAAACGGUGCGUGCUAACACCACGCACUACUGACGGUACCCACAGAAGAAGCGCCGGCUAACUACGUGCCAGCAGCCGCGGUAAUACGUAGGGUGCAGGCGUUAAUCGGAAUUACUGGGCGUAAAGCGUGCGCAGGCGGUUUGCUAAGACAGGUGUGAAAUCCCCGAGCUUAACUUGGGAACUGCGCUUGUAACUGGCAAGCUAGAGUGUGGCAGAGGGGGGUGGAAUUCCACGUGUAGCAGUGAAAUGCGUAGAGAUGUGGAGGAACACCGAUGGCGAAGCAGCCCCCUGGGCUAACACUGACGCUCAUGCACGAAAGCGUGGGGAGCAAACAGGAUUAGAUACCCUGGUAGUCCACGCCCUAAACUAUGUCAACUGGUU